This 502-nucleotide ribosomal RNA is filed under the name uncultured bacterium. RNAcentral's name for it is "bacterial SSU rRNA". It matches the Rfam family "Bacterial small subunit ribosomal RNA", at positions 8 to 507 of the family's 1533-position model. The record is from RNAcentral.
AGAGUUUGAUCCUGGCUCAGAUUAAACGCUGGCGGCAUGCCUUACACAUGCAAGUCGAACGGCAGCACGGGGCAACCUGGUGGCGAGUGGCGAACGGGUGAGUAAAGCAUCGGAACGUGCCCUGGAGUGGGGGAUAACGUAGCGAAAGUUACGCUAAUACCGCAUAUUCUGUGAGCAGGAAAGCAGGGGAUCGCAAGACCUUGCGCUCUGGGAGCGGCCGAUGUCGGAUUAGCUAGUUGGUGGGGUAAAGGCCUACCAAGGCGACGAUCCGUAGCGGGUCUGAGAGGAUGAUCCGCCACACUGGGACUGAGACACGGCCCAGACUCCUACGGGAGGCAGCAGUGGGGAAUUUUGGACAAUGGGCGGAAGCCUGAUCCAGCCAUGCCGCGUGAGUGAAGAAGGCCUUCGGGUUGUAAAGCUCUUUCGGCCGGGAAGAAAUCGCAUGGGUUAAUACCCUGUGUGGAUGACGGUACCGGAAUAAGAAGCACCGGCUAACUACGUG